ACGGAAGGCAGCAGUGGGGGAUAUUGCACAAUGGGCGAAAGCCUGAUGCAGCAACGCCGCGUGAGGGAAGACGGUUUUCGUAUUGUAAACCUUUGUCUUUGGUGACGAAAAGAAUGACGGUAACCAAGGAGGAAGCCACGGCUAACUACGUGCCAGCAGCCGCGGUAAUACGCAGGUGGCGAGCGUUGUCCGGAAUUACUGGGUGUAAAGGGAGCGUAGGCGGGGAGGCAAGUCAGCUGUGAAAUACAUGGGCUCAACCGAUGAAUUGCAGUUGAAACUGUCACUCUUGAGAGAAGUAGAGGUAGGCGGAAUUCCGAGUGUAGCGGUGAAAUGCGUAGAUAUUCGGAGGAACACCGGUGGCGAAGGCGGCCUACUGGGCUGCAACUGACGCUGAGGCUCGAAGGCGUGGGGAGCAAACAGGAUUAGAUACCCUGGUA
This 437-nucleotide ribosomal RNA is filed under the name uncultured Oscillospiraceae bacterium. Its description in RNAcentral is "bacterial SSU rRNA". It matches the Rfam family "Bacterial small subunit ribosomal RNA", at positions 341 to 792 of the family's 1533-position model. The record is from RNAcentral. Lineage: Bacteria; Bacillati; Bacillota; Clostridia; Eubacteriales; Oscillospiraceae.